This 91-nucleotide signal recognition particle RNA is filed under the name Nocardioides exalbidus. RNAcentral describes it as "Bacterial small signal recognition particle RNA". It matches the Rfam family "Bacterial small signal recognition particle RNA". Rfam says of the family: The signal recognition particle (SRP) is a universally conserved ribonucleoprotein involved in the co-translational targeting of proteins to membranes. Archaeal SRP consists of a 7S RNA and homologues of the eukaryotic SRP19 and SRP54 proteins. Lineage: Bacteria; Bacillati; Actinomycetota; Actinomycetes; Propionibacteriales; Nocardioidaceae. The record is from RNAcentral.
AACCCCCCACGCGGCGACAUCUCGCCCAAUUCCCCCAGGGCCGGAAGGCAGCAAGGGUAAGUGAGCUCUGACGGGUGCGUGGGGGGCCUUU